This 126-nucleotide non-coding RNA is filed under the name Roseburia inulinivorans. RNAcentral describes it as "TPP sequence". It matches the Rfam family "TPP riboswitch aptamer (THI element)". From Rfam's summary of the family: Vitamin B(1) in its active form thiamin pyrophosphate (TPP) is an essential coenzyme that is synthesised by coupling of pyrimidine and thiazole moieties in bacteria. The previously detected thiamin-regulatory element, thi box was extended, resulting in a new, highly conserved RNA secondary structure, the THI element, which is widely distributed in eubacteria and also occurs in some archaea. The record is from Rfam by way of RNAcentral. Lineage: Bacteria; Bacillati; Bacillota; Clostridia; Lachnospirales; Lachnospiraceae.
CAAAAACGCUAGGGGCGCAAAAAAUGCUGCAUUUGCCAGACAUUCCAACGCUGAGAGAUGAUUUUUCAUCAACCCUUAUUACUUGAACCGGAUAAUACCGGCGUAAGGAAGCUUUUAUGAUAUUUC